GUGGUAGCACACGCCUGUAAUCCCAGCUGCUCCAGAGGCUGAGGCAGGAGAAUUGAUUUAACCCAGGAGAUGGAGGUUGCAGUGAGUUGAGAUUGUGCCACUGCACUCCAGCCAGGAUGACAGAGCAAGACUCUGUCUCAAAAAAAAAAAAAAGAAAGAAAGAAAGAAAAAGAAAGUGAAAGACCGAGGCCGGGUGAAAAUAUCCUAGAUCCUAGUGAGAUCUAAGGAAGGUCGGCAAGUCUCACUGAGCCCAAGCCAGCCCCUGGGAGUCUGGUGUUUUCCAGCAACCAGCCUGCUUCAGUGUCCCCGCCAGGCUGGAGAGCAGCCUGCAGGACACACAGCCAGGGGGCUCCUCGGUCAGUUCCGCUCCCGUGCUCAGUCAGAAGAUGCCCAUUCAACCCGGACCUCCUCCUUUUCCUGCAGGGUCACAGGCAACAAGACCAGCCUCUUUGUGCUUCCCUUUCCUUGGCAACAAGGCGCCCGCCUCAGAGGGAAGGAGUGAGGAGUCUGUCACUGCUAGUGGACAACUCGCAGGGCCGAGGUAGUAGGUUUGCCCGUGGGUGGUCCCCCUCUCUCUUGAGGCUGACAUACACAGGAGUUCUCAACUAGGGAAAGAAACAAGCCCCCUCGUCUGCUGCUGCUGGCCGGGGGACGCACAGACCUCUCUCCCCUUCUCCCAUCUCUUCUCCUCCUCUCUUACUACCCCUCUUCACCCUUUCCUGUCAGAGCAUCCCCCAGACUGGCAGCCACCUCCUCUGGGAAGCCUUCCUGGCCUUCAGCCACACAGCCCUCUCCCUCCUUGGAAUCCCACCACCCAGGAAGGUACUUCAGUGGCUUCAGUGCCUCAUCCCUGCUCAGCGUUGAGCUCCUGAGAGGCCUGUCUUGCCUUCUACCUCCCCGAGCACUGGCAGAGCACUCAGAAGUCCCUGGAUUGAUGGGGAGGCAGGUCUGCACUGGAAAGGGCCCCAAAGGGCCUGUCGCCUCUGCUAUCUGAGGCUGCUGGCCGCCGUUUGAUGUUUUCUGCCGAGUAGAGACUUUUCUAAGGAUUAUCAUAACAACAACAACCACCCAGGUAAUAAUAUCCUUUCAUAGCCCUGCCUGCCCCUUUCCUAUCCAUGGCCUUCUGAUGGACGGAGGUGAUGAUGGGGUUUGCUUCAGAGAUGGUAUCUGGGGUGUGUGUGUGUGUGUGUGUGUGUGUGUGUGUGUGUGGGUGUGCCUGUGUUAAGAUCUGCGUGCAAAUGCUCCAUUGCGCUGAUGUGUGUCUGAGA
Molecule: long non-coding RNA, 1268 nt
Filed under: Macaca fascicularis (crab-eating macaque)
Lineage: Eukaryota; Metazoa; Chordata; Mammalia; Primates; Cercopithecidae
Description: lncRNA (ENSMFAG00000056443.1)
Source: RNAcentral